AAGUCGUAACAAGGUUUCCGUAGGUGAACCUGCGGAAGGAUCAUUAACACGUAUCCAACGUUAAACCCCCCGUGAACUUUUAUUGCGAACCACGCCUUUGUUAGAAAGUAGCAAUCCCUGGUAAAUCAUCGCCGAACAGUUUUGAUUCAGGGAUCUCUGCGAAGAGAGCGGUUGUAGCGCGAGGUAAGUGGCCUGGCAUUCCUCUGCUUUGUUAGUGUCUGACAGUGUCACUAGCUCUGUACGAAUGGCGCAGUCACGAUCGCUAGAGGCCGACACGGCCGGCGACCGGGUCACCGGGCAUAGACCCCCCUAUCACCUUUGCAUGAAAACGGGCCUGCGCUUAAUUGUGCGGCCACCAAACUCGAACAACUGUUAACAAUGGAUAUCUUGGUUCUC
This 396-nucleotide unclassified non-coding RNA is filed under the name fungal sp. RNAcentral's name for it is "partial internal transcribed spacer region". The stretch from base 1 to 46 matches the Rfam family "Eukaryotic small subunit ribosomal RNA", at positions 1786 to 1831 of the family's 1831-position model. The record is from RNAcentral. Lineage: Eukaryota; Fungi.